Molecule: transfer RNA, 76 nt
Filed under: Patescibacteria group bacterium
Lineage: Bacteria
Also listed under: 1 other name
Description: tRNA-Thr
Rfam family: tRNA
About the family: Transfer RNA (tRNA) molecules are approximately 80 nucleotides in length. Their secondary structure includes four short double-helical elements and three loops (D, anti-codon, and T loops). Further hydrogen bonds mediate the characteristic L-shaped molecular structure. tRNAs have two regions of fundamental functional importance: the anti-codon, which is responsible for specific mRNA codon recognition, and the 3' end, to which the tRNAs corresponding amino acid is attached (by aminoacyl-tRNA synthetases). tRNAs cope with the degeneracy of the genetic code in two manners: having more than one tRNA (with a specific anti-codon) for a particular amino acid; and 'wobble' base-pairing, i.e. permitting non-standard base-pairing at the 3rd anti-codon position.
Source: RNAcentral
GCCAGAAUAGCUCAGUUGGUAGAGCAACGGUUUUGUAAACCGUAGGUCCUCGGUUCGAGCCCGAGUUCUGGCUCCA